UAAGGAAUAUUGGUCAAUGGACGCAAGUCUGAACCAGCCAUGCCGCGUGAAGGAUGAAGGUCCUCUGGAUUGUAAACUUCUUUUAUCUGGGACGAAAACGGGAUUUUUAUCUCAAUUGACGGUACCAGAGGAAUAAGCACCGGCUAACUCCGUGCCAGCAGCCGCGGUAAUACGGAGGGUGCGAGCGUUAUCCGGAUUCACUGGGUUUAAAGGGUGCGUAGGUGGGCAGAUAAGUCAGUGGUGAAAUCUUCCGGCUAAACCGGAAAAUUGCCGUUGAUACUAUUUGUCUUGAAUAUUGUGGAGGUAAGCGGAAUAUGUCAUGUAGCGGUGAAAUGCUUAGAUAUGACAUAGAACACCAAUUGCGAAGGCAGCUUACUAUAUAAUUAUUGACACUGAGGCACGAAAGCGUGGGUAGCGAACA
RNAcentral lists this ribosomal RNA (421 nucleotides) under uncultured bacterium. Its description in RNAcentral is "bacterial SSU rRNA". It matches the Rfam family "Bacterial small subunit ribosomal RNA", at positions 355 to 774 of the family's 1533-position model. The record is from RNAcentral.